CCCACCCCGCCGCUGCUCACGUAUCGCCCGCCGUCCUCUCCUCUCCUCCCCGGCCCCUUCACUCCACCAACGAACCCCACGCAGGCAGCAGCACGCGCAAGCCGCAAGGCAAGGCACAAACACUAGGGGCCGGGCAUGGCGACGCGGGCGGACGUGGAGAAGGGCGGGCCGGCGAGGAAGGAGCCCGGCAAGGUGCCGUCGCCGCUGUACCCGCAGCACGAGGGGGAGCGGGAGUGGGUGCCCUGGCUCGUCCCCGUCAUCUUCGUCGCCAGCAUCACCGUCUUCGUCGUCACCAUGUACGCCAACAACUGCCCCGCGCGCGACACCAACAAGUGCGUCGCCCGCUUCCUCGGCCGCUUCUCCUUCCAGCCGCUGCGACAGAACCCGCUCUUCGGGCCCUCCUCCGCCACGCUCACCAAGAUGGGGGCCCUGGUGUGGGAGAAGGUGGUGCACCGCCACCAGGGCUGGCGCCUCCUCUCCAGCAUGUGGCUCCACGCCGGCGUCAUCCACCUGGUCGCCAACAUGCUCUGCCUCCUCUUCAUCGGCAUGCGCCUCGAACAGCAGUUCGGAUACGUGAGGAUCGGCGCGAUCUACGUGCUCUCCGGCGUGGGCGGCGCCGUGCUGUCGUCGCUGGUCGUCCGGAACCGCGUCACCGUGGGGGCCUCCGGGGCGCUCUUGGGCCUGCUGGGCGCCAUGCUCUCGGAGCUGCUCACCAACUGGACCAUCUACACCAACAAGGCGGCGGCCGUGGCCACGCUCCUGUCCGUGGCCGCCGUCAACCUGGUGCUCGGCGUCCUGCCCCACGUCGACAACCUGGCGCACCUCGGCGGCUUCCUCGCGGGCUUCCUACUCGGCUUCGUCGUGCUCAUGCGCCCCCACUUGGGCUGGAUGGAGCGCUACGGACUCCCCGCCGGCGCGCCCUGCACCGCCAGGAAGUACCUCGCGUACCAGUGGACCCUCCUCGCCGUCGCCAUCAUCAUCCUCCUAGUCGGAUUCGCGGCCGGCAUGGCGAUGCUCUUCCGCGGCGCCAACGCCAACGACAGCUGCCACUGGUGUCACUACCUCAGCUGCGUGCCCACCGCCAGAUGGAACUGCACCAACUGAUGAUCCAUGCAUAGCGGCAGCAGCACGAGUUGGAGUUGCCACCCAUUUUCAUCUUCCGAUCCGUAUAGUCUCGUUACUGUAGAUAGCUUCUUUGUCAUUCAU
This 1206-nucleotide unclassified non-coding RNA is filed under the name Zea mays. RNAcentral's name for it is "misc RNA Zm00001eb001080". The record is from RNAcentral. Lineage: Eukaryota; Viridiplantae; Streptophyta; Magnoliopsida; Poales; Poaceae.